AGAACGAGAUAGUCUGAGGGAAAGGCUAAAGAUUGCUCAAGAGACAGCGUUUAAUGAGAAAGCUCACUUGGAACAGAGGAUAGAGGAGCUGGAGUGUACAGUUCAUAAUG
Molecule: long non-coding RNA, 110 nt
Organism: Myotis brandtii (Brandt's bat)
Lineage: Eukaryota; Metazoa; Chordata; Mammalia; Chiroptera; Vespertilionidae
Exons: 2
Source: RefSeq, a predicted model, not a curated record